Molecule: ribosomal RNA, 255 nt
Filed under: Triticum aestivum (bread wheat)
Lineage: Eukaryota; Viridiplantae; Streptophyta; Magnoliopsida; Poales; Poaceae
Description: partial small subunit ribosomal RNA
Source: RNAcentral
AUGCACCUGUGGCCGUCGCUCCGGAUCCGGGACUCGUUCAAGCACGCCUACCUGGAGAAGCUUGAGUUCAACCUCGCCCACAAGAAGCGCGCGCAGGGGCAGGGGCAAGGGCGGCAGGGCCAGGACGGGGACGAGGCGCCUCUGCUCGAGGGCCGCUCGUCGUCGAUGGUGGCCACCGCGUUCGAGCUCGCCUGCGACGCCGCCAUGCUCCUUUCGUGCUGCUGUUGCUGCUUCUGCUGCGGCGGUACGUCCUGA